This 119-nucleotide unclassified non-coding RNA is filed under the name uncultured fungus. RNAcentral's name for it is "sequence contains ITS1". The stretch from base 1 to 107 matches the Rfam family "5.8S ribosomal RNA", at positions 50 to 154 of the family's 154-position model. From Rfam's summary of the family: 5.8S ribosomal RNA (5.8S rRNA) is a component of the large subunit of the eukaryotic ribosome. Lineage: Eukaryota; Fungi. The record is from RNAcentral.
GAAAUGCGAUACUUGGUGUGAAUUGCAGAAUCCCGUGAACCAUCGAGUCUUUGAACGCAAGUUGCGCCCGAAGCCAUUAGGCCGAGGGCACGCCUGCCUGGGUGUCACACAGACUAUAC